CCUACUUAAAGGUUUUUUUGUCACUAUACAUUAUCUCUUUCAGAAUAAUAAACAUAUUGUAUCAGAGCAGGAGCAGAGCAGGGUUUAUACAUCACAUAGCUGGAGGCUGGAGCUGCGCAUCUUCCUCGCACAGCUAUUUUGCGGCGGCGCACCUUCAUAGCACAUGCUUACUCGCACCGCUACAUAGCUUAGUAUCAGUGGAAACAGUAACAUAGAUUCACAGCACAGCUGUCACCAUUUCGUAUUGUAGAUGCAUAGCACAUUUCUGCUGGAAAAGCCCCUCAGACCCGAUUUUGGCCCACAUUAAACGGGCAGAUUUACAUAAUUCUAACUUUGUACACUUAUCAAGGAUCGUGAUAAUUAAGUUCAAUUCAUAAGCAUAAGCUAGUUUUUUACACCCAAAUUAUAUUUAAUUAUUUUAAAUGUGUUCUUGUAAUUUGCAAUCUAUAAUAUCAUGAAGUGACUGUAUUUUAUUACAUAAGUAGGUAUAGGUACUAAUCACAAAAUAUUUGGAAAUUAGUCAGCGGCUAAUCAGUACUUUUGAGAAUUCAUUAUCAUAAUAUUGGCCAUGGUAUAUUACUCUUUAAAAACAUUUUAAAUCAAAGGUAGACUCAUCAGUCGUAUUUCGAGGUACUUAUCGAUAAAUUGUCCGCAUUGAUUAGUUAACCUAUCUAAUCAGGAACGUUUCCAUGUAUUUAACCUAGGUACUUAUAUUAUAUUUGCGAAAUAUUAAAUGAAAUAACCUUAGAUAGUCAUUACAGUUCCUAUUUUACCGCCGAAUAUACUCGUAUAACAUAGACAUGGGUUCCGGAUGUAGUUCAUGUUGCGAUACCAGGCCUCCCUCGGGAGACGGAGUGCAAGUAGCCGACAACAACCCGGGCUACUAUCCCCCCAACGACGUGGUUACUGUUACCGACCAACCCCAAAACUAUCAGAGAAGAUAGUCUACAGUAUUGAGAAAUACUUAGGUAUCCUAUUUAUUUGAUUAAGUUUGCUAUUAAAAUAUUUUAAGCCAGACGUGA
Colias croceus (clouded yellow) is the source of this 1022-nucleotide long non-coding RNA. RefSeq lists it as uncharacterized. Lineage: Eukaryota; Metazoa; Arthropoda; Insecta; Lepidoptera; Pieridae. The transcript has 2 exons. The record is from RefSeq and is a predicted model, not a curated record.